UACGGAGGGUGCAAGCGUUGUUCGGAUUUAUUGGGCGUAAAGGGCGUGUAGGCGGUUUGUUAAGUCUGAUGUGAAAGCCCCGGGCUCAACCCGGGAAGUGCAUUGGAAACUGGCGAACUUGAGUACGGGAGAGGGCAGUGGAAUUCCUAGUGUAGGAGUGAAAUCCGUAGAUAUUAGGAGGAACACCGGUGGCGAAGGCGGCUGCCUGGACCGAUACUGACGCUGAGACGCGAAAGCGUGGGGAGCAAACAGG
This 253-nucleotide ribosomal RNA is filed under the name uncultured bacterium. RNAcentral's name for it is "partial 16S ribosomal RNA". It matches the Rfam family "Bacterial small subunit ribosomal RNA", at positions 524 to 776 of the family's 1533-position model. The record is from RNAcentral.